GCCAGGCGCGGUGGCUCACGUCUGUAAUCCCAGCACUUUGGGAGGCUGAGGCGGGUGGAUCACCUGAGGUCAGGAGUUCGAGACAAGCCUGGCCAACAUGGUGAAACCCCGCCUCUA
This is an unclassified non-coding RNA of Pongo abelii (Sumatran orangutan), 117 nucleotides long. It matches the Rfam family "Metazoan signal recognition particle RNA". Rfam says of the family: The signal recognition particle (SRP) is a universally conserved ribonucleoprotein. It is involved in the co-translational targeting of proteins to membranes. NCBI's taxonomy places the organism in Eukaryota, Metazoa, Chordata, Mammalia, Primates, Hominidae. The record is from Ensembl.